RNAcentral lists this long non-coding RNA (957 nucleotides) under Pogona vitticeps (central bearded dragon). RNAcentral describes it as "lncRNA (ENSPVIG00000010055.1)". The record is from RNAcentral. Lineage: Eukaryota; Metazoa; Chordata; Lepidosauria; Squamata; Agamidae.
CCUUCAUAAUUAAAUUGUGAACCGUGAACCACCCAGAGGGUGCUUUCAGCGCUAUGGUGUCAUAUAUAAGCAGCCCUUUUCCCCCCUUUCUUUCCUGUGUUCCCACUGCAGGCUCAUUCCUUUGAGAUUCGUACGGCUGGCCAUUCGUGACCGAGAGAAGCAGAUCAUUGAAAUGAUCCUGAUCAGUGGGCAGUCUUAUUACCUUCUACUCCACCCUUCCACCAAGGAGAAAGACAACCAGUUCCGGUGCUGGUGCAAACUCAUCCACCUUCUCCAUCACCCACCAGCACGCUACUUCAGGCCCAAACCCAUCUCCUUUACUGGUAUAGACCACCAGAGCAUUCCUGUUAUACCAAGGGACGAGGAAGCCGUGCAGGAGGAAAAGGAAGAAAACAAUCAGGAGCAGAAGGAGAAGGGACAGAUUUCAGCCAAAACACCUCAUCAGAGCGGGUUUGACAUCGAGGAAGAAUACACUGCCGAUGAGCGCCACAUUCUGGAGAUAGGAGACGUCAGGACAUUUAGUGAGUGGUUCCUGUACGAAAAUGCUGACAGCUUUGAGACCUACGCAGGGAGCAAGACCUCAGUCAAGCCGAUCAGGACAUUCAGUUCAGCACCUGUUCUAUCAGAACUAACAUUUUCCAACACAAGCAUGAACACAAGCAGGUCCUCGGGCCAACCACCAGCGCCUCCUGUGUUUCCAGUUCCAAAGAAAGGCGAAAACGGAAGCCUUAACAUUGUCACCAUCUAUUCCGCCAUCUCCAAAAUUCUGGGGGAGAAAAAUGGAGAGAGAGCAGACACUGAGCCCUGUCAGAGAGGUGUCUUGGAACAGGAGGAGCUGAGAGGGCAAUAGAAGCCCCAGGUAGGCAAAGCUUUGUCUUGAGCUUCCUCUUGAAGGCUGGGAGGGAGGGGGGCUGGCGAAGCUCUUAACGGGAGCCCAGUCAAGGAUGGUGCCACAAC